This 388-nucleotide ribosomal RNA is filed under the name uncultured bacterium. RNAcentral describes it as "bacterial SSU rRNA". It matches the Rfam family "Bacterial small subunit ribosomal RNA", at positions 30 to 399 of the family's 1533-position model. The record is from RNAcentral.
AGUGAACGCUGGCGGCAGGCCUAACACAUGCAAGUCGAGCGGCAGCGGGUUCCCGCGAGGGGAUGCCGGCGAGCGGCGGACGGGUGAGGAACACAUCGGAAUCUGCCUGGUUGUGGGGGAUAACGUAGGGAAACUUACGCUAAUACCGCAUGAGACCCUGAGUCGACGGACUGGGGGUGAAAGUGAGGGACCUUCGGGCCUCACGCGACCAGAUGAGCCGAUGUCGGAUUAGCUAGUUGGCGGGGUAACGGCCCGCCAAGGCGACGAUCCGUAGCUGGUCUGAGAGGAUGAUCAGCCACACUGGGACUGAGACACGGGCCCAGACUCCUACGGGAGCAGCAGUGGGGAAUCUUGGACAAGUGGGCGCAAGCCUGAUCCAGCCAUGCCG